GCGUGCCGGGUGCUACCAUGCAAGUCGAACGAUGAAGCCCUUCGGGGUGGAUUAGUGGCGAACGGGUGAGUAACACGUGGGCAAUCUGCCCUUCACUCUGGGACAAGCCCUGGAAACGGGGUCUAAUACCGGAUAACACUCUGUCCCGCAUGGGACGGGGUUAAAAGCUCCGGCGGUGAAGGAUGAGCCCGCGGCCUAUCAGCUUGUUGGUGGGGUAAUGGCCUACCAAGGCGACGACGGGUAGCCGGCCUGAGAGGGCGACCGGCCACACUGGGACUGAGACACGGCCCAGACUCCUACGGGAGGCAGCAGUGGGGAAUAUUGCACAAUGGGCGAAAGCCUGAUGCAGCGACGCCGCGUGAGGGAUGACGGCCUUCGGGUUGUAAACCUCUUUCAGCAGGGAAGAAGCGAAAGUGACGGUACCUGCAGAAGAAGCGCCGGCUAACUACGUGCCAGCAGCCGCGGUAAUACGUAGGGCGCAAGCGUUGUCCGGAAUUAUUGGGCGUAAAGAGCUCGUAGGCGGCUUGUCACGUCGGAUGUGAAAGCCCGGGGCUUAACCCCGGGUCUGCAUUCGAUACGGGCUAGCUAGAGUGUGGUAGGGGAGAUCGGAAUUCCUGGUGUAGCGGUGAAAUGCGCAGAUAUCAGGAGGAACACCGGUGGCGAAGGCGGAUCUCUGGGCCAUUACUGACGCUGAGGAGCGAAAGCGUGGGGAGCGAACAGGAUUAGAUACCCUGGUAGUCCACGCCGUAAACGUUGGGAACU
RNAcentral lists this ribosomal RNA (762 nucleotides) under Streptomyces sp. RNAcentral describes it as "bacterial SSU rRNA". It matches the Rfam family "Bacterial small subunit ribosomal RNA", at positions 35 to 817 of the family's 1533-position model. Lineage: Bacteria; Bacillati; Actinomycetota; Actinomycetes; Kitasatosporales; Streptomycetaceae. The record is from RNAcentral.